Molecule: ribosomal RNA, 507 nt
Filed under: uncultured bacterium
Lineage: Bacteria
Description: partial 16S ribosomal RNA
Rfam family: Bacterial small subunit ribosomal RNA
Source: RNAcentral
GACGAACGCUGGCGGCGUGCCUAAUACAUGCAAGUCGAACGCAUUUUCUUUCACCGUAGCUUGCUACACCGAAAGAAAAUGAGUGGCGAACGGGUGAGUAACACGUGGGUAACCUGCCCAUCAGCGGGGGAUAACACUUGGAAACAGGUGCUAAUACCGCAUAAUUCCAUUUACCGCAUGGUAGAUGGAUGAAAGGCGCUUUUGCGUCACUGAUGGAUGGACCCGCGGUGCAUUAGCUAGUGGGUGGGGUAACGGCCUACCAAGGCUGCGAUGCAUAGCCGACCUGAGAGGGUGAUCGGCCACACUGGGACUGAGACACGGCCCAGACUCCUACGGGAGGCAGCAGUAGGGAAUCUUCGGCAAUGGACACAAGUCUGACCGAGCAACGCCGCGUGAGUGAAGAAGGUUUUCGGAUCGUAAAACUCUGUUGUUAGAGAAGAACAAGGAUGAGAGUGGAAAGUUCAUCCCUUGACGGUAUCUAACCAGAAAGCCACGGCUAACUACGUG